CCUACGGGAGGCAGCAGUGAGGAAUAUUGGUCAAUGGACGAGAGUCUGAACCAGCCAAGUAGCGUGAAGGAUGACUGCCCUAUGGGUUGUAACCUUCUUUUAUAAAGGAAUAAAACGAGCCACGUGUGCCUUUUUGCAUGUACUUUAUGAAUAAGGAUCGGCUAACUCCGUGCCAGCAGCCGCGGUAAUACGGAGGAUCCGAGCGUUAUCCGGAUUUAUUGGGUUUAAAGGGAGCGUAGAUGGGUUGUUAAGUCAGUUGUGAAAGUUUGCGGCUCAACCGUAAAAUUGCAAUUGAUACUGGCAGUCUUGAGUACAGUUGAGGUAAGCGGAAUUCGUGGUGUAGCGGUGAAAUGCUUAGAUAUCACGAAGAACCCCGGUUGCGAAGGCAGCUUACUAAACUGUGACUGACAUUGAUGCUCGAAAGUGUGGGUAUCAAACAGGAUUAGAUACCCGUGUAGUC
Molecule: ribosomal RNA, 460 nt
Filed under: uncultured bacterium
Lineage: Bacteria
Description: partial 16S ribosomal RNA
Rfam family: Bacterial small subunit ribosomal RNA
Source: RNAcentral